GAUUUGGCCUCCCGCUGCGAAUGGGACUGCUUUGUCUCAGCCGACAGAACCAGCAAGCCAGAAAGGGAAUGAAGACAUUUGGAGAAGAAGCGUUUACUGAAAGGAGAUUCCUGGGCUGGAGGAAAACCAUGAUCUACAGUUCAUACGAGGGAACUGAGCUGUCAAAACUAAGUGACUUGAUUGAGGCCAUGCAGCUGGCGAGGGGAGGACCAGGAUCUGAACCCAACUGGGUCUCCCAAGCCUGGGCCACUGAACCAUUUCACCUCUUGGAAAAACUUAAUGGUCAGAGUGGCCCACCCAGUCCAUGGACAGCAUGGAGGAUAAACUGCUUCCCUAGAAAUCCUCUCCAGCAUUCUUGCCACCACGACUUUGGGACACAUUGACCAUGAGGAGGAGCUGGUCAAUGAUGGACAGGAGUCCAGAUUAGCAGAGAUGUGGUAAUAAGGACACCGAUGCCUAAAUACUUGAAAUAUCCAAUAGGAAGCAUUCCACCUUUGUGCAAAUGCGAACCACAUCUCACCAAGUUCAGGCCAAGGCUGCCACCGGUGACGUUUUGGAAAAGAAAAAAAAAAGCGGGGGGAGAGGAGAGAAACAGAGAAGCAAGGAAUGCAGAAGAGAGCAGAGGCCACAAAAACAGCAGCAACGUGUCCUGUGUAUUCUGUUUCCUUGUAAAACUAUGAAGCAUGUUAAGGAGAUACUUCAUUUUUUGAGGAUUCAUACUCUUGUUUAUAUUAUAAUAAAAACAACCCAUGUUCUUUCUAAAAAUUUAGGCAAUGCCUUCGUGCACAUAAAAGUAAAACAAAAUCACCUGUAAUCCUACCACACGCAGAUCAGCACUUGCUAAUCUUUUCACAGGGAUCCUAAGAAUAUCCUAUUCUCUAUAGAAUAUAGUUGAUUUAUGUUACCUAAUAACUAACUGUUAACCAUUUUAAAAUUCUUCAGUUUUACAUUAUGCUAGAAAAAAGGAGCCGUCACUCUACGUGACAUUUCUGUAUAUUGGUUUAUUCAUUCAAUAAACAUUUUUUAAGUACCUAC
This 1035-nucleotide long non-coding RNA is filed under the name Homo sapiens (human). RNAcentral describes it as "long intergenic non-protein coding RNA 1102". Lineage: Eukaryota; Metazoa; Chordata; Mammalia; Primates; Hominidae. The record is from RNAcentral.